AUGCAACAAAUCAUUCACUUAGAACAAGAGCAAGGUGAGGAGCAGGCUCAGCAACUAACUGGCAGAGGGGGCAAUGCACAGAGAGACCAAGUCCAAGACAAUAGAAGACCUCUGACUCUGGUGAAACCUGCUAAAUAUAACAUACCAGAGUUUGAUGGCAGUGGAACUGACUCUUGGAUACAAACCAUUGAAAUGUACUUUGAAGCUGCUAGGACACCAUUGGAGCAGAAAACUGAAAUUGCUGUCACUUACCUCAAAGGGCCAGCAAUAGAAUGGUGGAGAGGAACUGGAAUUAUUGCCAAUACCUUACCCUGGUACAGGUUCUGUAGACUGAUUGGAGACAGGUUUUCUGAAACUUCAGUUUGUGACAAUGUCAGAACCUUUCAUGCCCUCAACCAAACUGGGCCUGUUAAUGACUAUGUUCUCAAGUUUGAACAGUCCAUGAACUUACUCAGGAGGGACAACCCUGCACUACGUGCUGAUUAUUACAAAGCUAGUUUCAUUGCUGGCCUGAGUGACUCUAUCCAACAUUAUGUUCAAUGUCAUGAACCAGCAGACCUACAAAAAGCCAUAUGGUUGGCCAGAAGAAUGGAACAAGCUUAG
Molecule: ribosomal RNA, 603 nt
Filed under: Triticum aestivum (bread wheat)
Lineage: Eukaryota; Viridiplantae; Streptophyta; Magnoliopsida; Poales; Poaceae
Description: partial small subunit ribosomal RNA
Source: RNAcentral